RNAcentral lists this ribosomal RNA (509 nucleotides) under uncultured Glomus. Its description in RNAcentral is "SSU rRNA". It matches the Rfam family "Eukaryotic small subunit ribosomal RNA", at positions 569 to 1082 of the family's 1831-position model. The record is from RNAcentral. Lineage: Eukaryota; Fungi; Glomeromycota; Glomeromycetes; Glomerales; Glomeraceae.
AGCAGCCGCGGUAAUUCCAGCUCCAAUAGCGUAUAUUAAAGUUGUUGCAGUUAAAAAGCUCGUAGUUGAAUUUCGGGGUCAGUAGGUUGGUCAUGCCACUGGUAUGUACUGGCCUCACUGAUUCCUCCUUCCUGAUGAGCCGUAAUGCCAUUAAUUUGGUGUUGCGAGGAAUCUGGACUGUUACUUUGAAAAAAUUAGAGUGUUUAAAGCAGGCUAACGCUUGAAUACAUUAGCAUGGAAUAAUGAAAUAGGACGUUCGAUCUUAUUUUGUUGGUUUCUAAGAUUGACGUAAUGAUUAAUAGGGAUAGUUGGGGGCAUUAGUAUUCAAUUGUCAGAGGUGAAAUUCUUGGAUUUAUUGAAGACUAACUACUGCGAAAGCAUUUGCCAAGGAUGUUUUCAUUAAUCAAGAACGAAAGUUAGGGGAUCGAAGACGAUCAGAUACCGUCGUAGUCUUAACCAUAAACUAUGCCGACUAGGGAUCGGAUGAUGUUAAUUUUUUAAUGUACUCU